RNAcentral lists this long non-coding RNA (517 nucleotides) under Struthio camelus australis. RNAcentral describes it as "lncRNA (ENSSCUG00000014725.1)". Lineage: Eukaryota; Metazoa; Chordata; Aves; Struthioniformes; Struthionidae. The record is from RNAcentral.
AAAGGUUUUUUUCCCUGUGUGACAUGAGAUCAGCAAAAAGGUAUCUUUCCCACACCUGGCAUGACACCAGCAAAAAAGUAUACCUCCGCAUCAAACAUUGUAUGACCGUGAGUCAAACUCCAUGCCCACAAAUAGCACCGCAGCCUACAGACCAUGGAGCUCUCCUGCAUGGCAGCUAACUGCACAGUGGUGAAUCUCCCCUUGAGCUCAGAUGUCUCUCAAGUUUACUCGUCAAGGUUGAGAGACUCUGUACCUGCGACAGAUGCUCGAUUCCUGUAGCUCCUCUGCUUGUAUGGACAUCUGGAAUCCGGAUGGCUUUCGGCACUCCAGUGGGACAGACAGAGUGGGAAAGUGCACCAGUCAUGCAAGAAGGUUAUAUUCUCAAAUGAGAAUGCUCUCAUGUGCCCUAGUUAUUACAAAAAAGAAACAUCAAGAAGGAAACGUCCCUGGAUAUGAGGUGGGCAUUUGUGUCCAGGACAAGAUCCAGGAGCUGGAAAAGUCAAACACUUUCUUAAUU